UCUCCGUAGGUGAACCUGCGGAGGGAUCAUUACAGAGCUCAUGCCCUAACGGGUAGAACUCCCACCCUAUGUUAUUAUAACUUCGUUGCUUUGGCGGGCCGCCUUUUACUAGGCUACCGGCUUCGGCUGGUGAGCGCCUGCCAGAGAACCCCAAACUCUGAAUAUUUUUGUCGUCUGAGUACUAUAUAAUAGUUAAAACUUUCAACAACGGAUCUCUUGGUUCUG
This 225-nucleotide unclassified non-coding RNA is filed under the name plant metagenome. Its description in RNAcentral is "partial contains small subunit ribosomal RNA, internal transcribed spacer 1, and 5.8S ribosomal RNA". The record is from RNAcentral.